This 398-nucleotide ribosomal RNA is filed under the name Ochyrocera sp. 441 FL-2019. RNAcentral describes it as "partial large subunit ribosomal RNA". It matches the Rfam family "Archaeal large subunit ribosomal RNA", at positions 1950 to 2670 of the family's 2987-position model. Lineage: Eukaryota; Metazoa; Arthropoda; Arachnida; Araneae; Ochyroceratidae. The record is from RNAcentral.
CCUGCUCAAUGAAUCUCAAUAGCCGCUAUUUGUGCUAAGGUAGCAUAAUAGUUUGCUCCUUAAUUAGGAGAUUGAAUGAAUGGACUAACAUUUAACUUUCUAUCUUUCACCAAAACAACUAAAUUAAUCUAGUGAUCAAAAAUUCACUAUUGUAAAGAAAGACGAUAAGACCCUAAUGAACUUUUCUUAAAGAUUAACUGGGGUAGUACAUAAAUAACCUUUAUAGCCGGAUAAAAAAAUAAGCUUAAUAGAAAACACAGUUACCAUAGGGAUAACAGCGUAAUUUUAAUUUUAAGCCCUUAUAAAAAUUAAAAUAUACGACCUCGAUGUUGAAUUAGUUAAAUUUUUAUAAGUAUAAAUAUAAAUAAUUAGUCUGUUCGACUUUUAAACAACUACAU